AGAGAGAGUUAGACUCCUAUGCUUUCGAAAGUAUGGGGCCUCCGUACUUAUAAGUUAUUUUCGAUGAUGGGACGUCCAAUUCGGUGAUCGGUUUCGUUAGACAUGAUCUACGCUAUUGGAACUAUCUAGAAAUCAAAUUUCAUAAUUUUUUGACUUUGUUUGCCUAGUGAACAAGUAGCCUCAAAAUGAACGGCUGAAAAUAAAAAUCUCAUAAAAAACAAUGAUAAAUGACUCAAAUUUCAAAUCAGAAGUAUUGAUCUUGCUAUUGACGUUUAGUAGAAUUUUCUAUUAAAUUUUUAUGUAAUUUGGAUAUUUCUACACCGUUGAACUUAAAAAUGUACCGCAUCGGCCAUUAAAAUAGUCAUUUUUGGGACCUUUUGAUCGCUUAGUAAAUGAUGUCAAAAAAUUAUAAAAUUUGGUUUCUAGAUAGUUCCAAUAGAGUAGAUUAUACCUAACGGAGCCGAUUGGCGAAUCGGAUGUCUUAUCAUCGAAAACAACUUACAAGCACGAAGGUCUCGGUACUUUCGAAAGUAUAGUAGACACACUAUAUAUAUAUAUAUAUAUAUAUAGAGUUUAUCUAGGAUACUUUUACAAGUAUCAUCCUCAUGUUGCUAUCACGUUUUUAGCCAUUGGAUCUACUUUUUGAUUACAAAUAGCCCUUGGAUCAAACAUUAUUCCACCUACCACCACCUACCACCACCUACCCCCAUCAUUUCAACCUCACAUCUCUCCAUCCAAGGGCUAAAAACACACAAGUAUCACUUGGGUGAUACUUGUAAAAGUAUUCUAGCCCUACUCUAUAUAUAUAUAUAUAGUGCGUCUGUCUGGAAGCACGGAGCGCUCCGUGCUUCCAAGUUGUUUUCGAUGUUCGGACUUUCGAAUCGACGAUCGGCUCCGUUAGACUUGAUCUAGAGUAUUUGAAGUAUCUAAAAAAUAAAUUUUGCGAUUUUUCGAUAUCAUUUGCCUAGUGAUCGAAAUGGCUCAAAAUCAACGGCUGAAAAUAAAAAUCUUACAAAAUAUGAUGAUAUGACAUUAAAAUUUUAGAUCAAAGUUAUUGAUCUUGUUUUAUAUGGUAUAAAGAAUUUUCUAUCAAAAUUUCAUAUGAUUUGGAUAUUUCUACACCGUUAAACUUGCAACCGGCUCACCACGGCUGUUAAAAUUAUUGAUUUUGAACCCCUUCGAUCACUAGGCAAAUGAUAUCGAAAAAUCGCAAAAUUUAUUUUUUAGGUAUUUCAAAUACUCUAGAUCAACUCUAACGGAGCCGAUCGGCGAUUCGAAAGUCCGAACAUCGAAAAUAACUUAGAAGCAUGGAGGCCUCCGUGCUUCCAUAAGCAUACCAACACAACUCAUAUAUAUAGUAUUUUAAGAAAAAGUUUCAAAGCUUUAUCAAAAGAAACAUUUCACGCUGUUCUUCAAAAUGCACAAAUCAUAAGUGCAGUUGAUGUUUAAAAUAGAAUUAAUACCCAAUCAACAUUUAAUUAGGAGUACAGAUUUGUGCAUUAAAAAGAAAAGAAAGAGGAGCUGCUUCCUGAAACAGCAGGGGGUGGUCGAUGGACUUCGACCUCGGCGGCGGCAGCGUCGGCUUGGGUGGCUACGGCGGCAGACACGACGGCGGCUGUGGACGCAACGAGACCGGCGUCGGCUUGGGUGGUGAGGCCGGCGACUUGAGCGGCGUCGACUUGCGCAACGUCGGCAGCUGAAGCCGAGCUCUUUUCCCCUUUUUUUUAUUCUUUUAACGCUUCUUCUCCUCCUCCUCCUCCUUUUUCCACUUCUUCUUUUAUCUCUUGUUACUCCUCCUCCCUCUCUCGAUUACUUUCUUUCUUCUUAUUNUUGGUAACCUAACUCUUUACACGCCAAUCUUACUGCACCCGGGAGAUCCCAACUCACUCACCAACCAACUUAUCAUAUUAGAUUGCCCAUUUUUAUUAGUUUGUCAAUUUAGAUUGCCACCUUUUGAGCUAUCGUGAUUCGGCGACCACGAUAGCUAUCAUAGGGUCGGCCUGAGAUAUAUAUAUAUAUAUAUAUAUAUAUAUAUAUAUAUCUUACUCCGAUGUUAUGAUAGUUUUCGUGUUUGUGAGAGGCACGAUAGUUCGAGCAAAAUUUGGAACGCUGAAAGUCUUUAACAUCCCAAUCCUACUAUAAUCAGUCAAUCUCAACUCUCCAGGGGGAUCCCAACUCACCAGGGGUGACCCAAUAUCAUAAAUUAGGUUACCAAUCUUUAAAAAAAUUAAUAGCACCAAUACCUUUGUGCUAUUGAUAGUAUUCCAGUCUAGUUAUAUAUAUAUGUAUAUAUAUAGCUCCUAUGCUUUUAAAAGUAUCAAAUUAUUGGUGCUUGUAGAUUUUUGGCCAUUGGAUUAAAAGAUAUGCGGUUAGGAUGACGUGGGACCCCUAGGGUUGUGGGGUGGUUGGUUGAAUAAUAUGAUCUAACAAAUAAAAAUGAUUAAGAAGUAGAUCUAACAGUAAAAAAUUUACAAGCACAAAAACUUGUGCUUUAAUAAGCACCAUAACCGGACUCUAUAUAUAUAGAGAGAGAGAGUCUGGCUACUAUACUCUUCUGACUAUACCUCUUUGAACUCAUAAGUUUUCUGCCGUUAGAUCUAUCUCUUUGCCCAUAUCCACCCGUUAGAUCAUACUAUUCAACCAACCACCCACUCAACCCUAGGGGACCACUAUCAACGUAACCAGGCAUUAUCAUCCUAACUGCACAUCAUUUUAUCCAACGGCCGAAAACUUAUGAGUUUAUAAGUACAAAAGGAUUUAAACUUAUAAGAGUAUAGUACCUCUAGCAUAUAUAUAUAUAUAGAGAGAGAGAGAGAGUGAGCUGGUAAACUUCUGAAAGUACGGAGCCUUCCGUACUUCCAAGUCAUUUUUGAUGAUGAGACUUUCGAAUCGACGAUCUGCUCCGUUAGAGUUGAUCUAGAGUAUUUGGAAGCAUCCAAAAAAAUAAUUUUGUAAUUUUUCGAUAUCAUUUGCCUAGUGAUGAAAGGGGCUCAAAAUUAAUAAUUUUAAUGGCCGUGGUGAGCUGUUGCAAGUCUAACGGUGUAGAAAUAUUCAAAUCACGUGAAAUUUUGAUAGAAAAUUCAUUAUACUAUAUAAAAUAAGAUCAAUAACUUUGAUCUAAAAUUUUAAUGUCAUAUCGUCAUAUUUUGUAAGAUUUUUAUUUUCAGCCGUUGAUUUUGAGCUCCUUAGUUCACUAGGCAAAUAAUAUCGAAAAAUCACAAAAUUUAUUUUCUAGCUACUUCAAAUACUCUAGAUCAACUCUAACGGAGCCGAU
Molecule: long non-coding RNA, 3274 nt
Filed under: Ananas comosus (pineapple)
Lineage: Eukaryota; Viridiplantae; Streptophyta; Magnoliopsida; Poales; Bromeliaceae
Description: long non-coding RNA (ACOM_LNC035629)
Source: RNAcentral